GGCCCUGUAGCCCAAUAGGCAGAGGCACGCGACUUAAAAUCGCGCCAGUGCGGGUUCGAGUCCCGCCAGGGCCA
RNAcentral lists this transfer RNA (74 nucleotides) under Planctomycetaceae bacterium. Its description in RNAcentral is "tRNA-Leu". It matches the Rfam family "tRNA". From Rfam's summary of the family: Transfer RNA (tRNA) molecules are approximately 80 nucleotides in length. The record is from RNAcentral. Lineage: Bacteria; Pseudomonadati; Planctomycetota; Planctomycetia; Planctomycetales; Planctomycetaceae.